Long non-coding RNA from Gambusia affinis (western mosquitofish), 364 nucleotides. RefSeq lists it as uncharacterized. The record is from RefSeq and is a predicted model, not a curated record. The transcript has 3 exons. Lineage: Eukaryota; Metazoa; Chordata; Actinopteri; Cyprinodontiformes; Poeciliidae.
AUGCAGGGCUGUGUGCCUUGAGAACCAAGAACCACUGCUGCAGAGCAUAUAACUGUGUGCUAAUAAAAUGCCAACAUGGAACAUCAGUAAUGACCCUAGAGAUGCAGGUGUUGCUCUCCAUCAAUAUACCGGCGAGGUGACAAAGCAGGGCGAGUUCUUUAAAAGAGGCAGAGGAAGGAGGAGACAGAAGUGUGUUAGCGCUGGAAGUCCUGAAGGCGCCGCAUAAGAGUCAUUGGGAAAAGGGCCCCAGUUUGUCGCACCUCCCUUCUCCCUCCUUGAUUGGAUUCAUCUUGGCUGAUUGAGAAUCUGCUUACAUUAAAGCCAGAGAGAAGAGAUAAGAUCUGACAGAUCUGACCACUGAAGG